Long non-coding RNA from Magnolia sinica, 525 nucleotides. RefSeq lists it as uncharacterized. The transcript has 2 exons. The record is from RefSeq and is a predicted model, not a curated record. NCBI's taxonomy places the organism in Eukaryota, Viridiplantae, Streptophyta, Magnoliopsida, Magnoliales, Magnoliaceae.
UGAAGAACUUGCAUUUGAAGAUGUGUCAAAUUGUCCUGUGGGGGAGCUUUUAGCCACAUCACAAUGCCUAAAAACUGCGAGUGAAGUGAAUGCGGCCAUUCUCACAAGCCAGAGUCAUGAGAAAGAUGAUAUGGAGCUAUUAAUAAGGGAAACAUCAAGCAGGAGCUGAUUAAGGUUGUUGUGGAUCAGAUACAAGGUGUGGAUUUGGAUUUUGAUAUGGAGUUAUCAAUAAGGAAAACAGCAGGCAAGAGAUGAUUAAGGUUGUUGUGGAUCGGAUACAAGGUGUGGAUUUGGAUUUUGAUAUGGAGCUAUCAAUAAGGAAAACAGCAGGCAGGAGCUAAUACCAUGUUUUAAGGGGCCCUUUAAAUGUUUUUUUUUUAAUUCCAAAUAGAAACUAAAAUUUCAAUUUGAAAAGUGGGUGUGAUUCUCAUGUUUUUCUCCACCCAUAUAAUUGACAACAAAAAUGGCCACUGAUCAAAUGGCUGGAUUCAUCUAAUCAAAGUAGUUCCCAAUAACUUUUAUGUU